This is a long non-coding RNA of Drosophila yakuba, 981 nucleotides long. RefSeq lists it as uncharacterized. Lineage: Eukaryota; Metazoa; Arthropoda; Insecta; Diptera; Drosophilidae. The transcript has 3 exons. The record is from RefSeq and is a predicted model, not a curated record.
GGUUUUUUUAAGGAGGGAGAUGUGGUAGGCACACAUAUCAAGUACCCACUGUACCCACAUAUCAAGCUUUUAAAAUACAAACACGUUGUAGCACUCUGUUGCCGUGUGGAAAUAAACAGUUCAGCCCCAGUGCAGGCCACCAUGCAUAAUUGCAUGGUAAGCGUUGUGUGCAUAUAGCACUUCUUCCCCUCCAGCGCCGCCGUUUGGCGACAACUCCAACAUAUAAAAUAUACAUAUAAGCGCCUCUGCGCUGCCGGCGUAGUCUCCCCCUUGUUUUGAAGCAUCUUAACACUUUUUACCACGCCCAUAAACCGGCUCCAGCUGCAUUGUAGUAAUCGACAGUGAGCAGCUGUAACAGGGUCGCAAUCCACGCGUUCUAAUCGAGUGUGGUCUAGAAAGUUAUUAAAAAGCGGUGACAUAGUGCUUCUCCUCACGAGGAAACAUUUUCUUGAUUUAGUUAAGUUGGCGAAAGGCAAGGGAGUGUACAGAGUAGCACCCCUUCAGACGCAGCGGACAAGACGGCCUCUCUGCGCUCAACGGACUACGCGUUCCAGCAGCAGCAGAGCCGUUAUCGCUCGGCGGUUGCCGAUUUCUUUUCUUGUGCGUCUAGGGGAGCAGCCCGGCGGCUAAGGAAGUCGCCGUCCAGCGGAGCACCUCUGUACAGCGGAGCACCUCCGUUCAGCCGAGCCCCUCUGUCCAGCGGAGCAUCCUCUACGACCAGCGGAGCACCGAAUUUUAUAAAUCUGUAGCAGUCUCUAGCCAGAGAGUACCAGUAAAAAAUAGUGAGAGUGUAGUCCUUCAGUGUUGUCAGUGCAGCCGACCAUGGCAGAUUUAAGGUUUAAGAUCGUGCCCGAGCGCAUUUUAUUACGGUGUUAGAGUGAAUAUCGUGAUUAACCCUGCAUGUUUCCCUCGAAAUAGAGACGGAAAUUUAUUAAAUGCAAGCUACACAUUAUAAAUAAAUGUAAAUUAUAAUUAAAUUAU